Molecule: long non-coding RNA, 650 nt
Organism: Apis mellifera (honey bee)
Lineage: Eukaryota; Metazoa; Arthropoda; Insecta; Hymenoptera; Apidae
Exons: 3
Source: RefSeq, a predicted model, not a curated record
AUUCGCAAAUUUCCGCAAGAAAGAAAGCGCGAAACGUAGGGACGGAAUGAUGCGACAUAAUGGAUCGCGUACGGUGACAUGCGCCAGGCAGAGGCGUCGCGGACGUCCAUGAUCAAAGGCCAGCCCGAAUGGGAAAUUAUAAUUAAUUAAGGUAAUUGGAAAUUAGCGACCGAUCUUCCCGGUACUAAUGGUGCGCCCUACUCUCCUCUUAAUUGAGUUAGCAGCCGCUUUUGAGGAGUCAUGGUAUCGCUGAUAGCUGGUCCUAAUCGUAUUCCUACUAGGGACUCGAUAGAAAAGGGGAGGGGGGGUUAAUAGAAUCGUCUAUGUCGUCAUCGAUAAGUCUAUCGUUUUCCAAGUCGUUGUGUACGUUGCUUGCAAGAGUUAUUAUUAGAAAGUUUGUAAAAGAAUAGCGAAUUAAGUAGAAACAUGUUUGAUUUAUGGUAAACAUUGCACGUGAUAAGCUUGAACGAAAUAAUCAAAUGAAAUUUGAACAGUUUACAAAGAUGCUUUCACGGAUAAGAAGCGCAGAGUGAAAUCUAAAUCUCAGGGUCAUUUUCCACGAGGUAAGGAAAUCUCCAGACAUUUGCAAGGUCGACGGCAAAUCCGAUGACAGAGAGAAGGAAAUCGACUUUGCCGGACCAUGUUUCCCU